Cinara cedri is the source of this 664-nucleotide non-coding RNA. Lineage: Eukaryota; Metazoa; Arthropoda; Insecta; Hemiptera; Aphididae. The record is from the annotation of a GenBank genome assembly.
GCAUAUAUUUACAUAACGACUGUUUAACUUUAUUUUUACUGAUCAGUUGUUUUUUAUAGUAGAUAUAAUUUUUUGGAGGAAAUGUUUAUGUUUGAAUUAAUGUGUAAAACUAAUAAUAUGUUCAUGAAUAAAUGAGUGGGAGAGAAAAAAUGUUUUAUGACUUAACUCUUGACAACACAGGUUUCCUGAAUACCUAUUAGAUAAAGUUAGUGUUCGGAAACAUCCUUCAAUUAAUGGUUAAAUAUAACCCGGAUCACCUCUUCAAAGUUUUUUCGACUUUAUCUGUAGUCCAGUUUUGAAUCUCAAUAAGUUUAUAAUCUUAUUGAUAGACUACUCUUAAUAACAUUUGAACAAAAACAACAAAUGAAUUUACAAAUUGCUAAAAAGCUUUUCACCAGGAGCAAACCUAAAGGCGUUUUUGUUGGGAAUUUGAAAGCAUUUUAAAUUUGUUUCAAGACCCUCAAACUCGUCCAACGUACAUUUAAAACCACUAUUUUCCUGAUAUUUUUAUCAAUACCGGUUAGGUUUAUUAUCAUUUUAAUAAUUCUAGGCUAUAAUAAUAAUAUAAUAACAUCAUUUUAAGUAUUAUUUGUUUGGGCAUUCGACACUAUUAAGCUAUCUGUCAUUUUAUACAUUUUUCUUUAUUGUUUAUACAUACAUUUUU